Myodes glareolus (Bank vole) is the source of this 1631-nucleotide non-coding RNA. The record is from RefSeq and is a predicted model, not a curated record. Lineage: Eukaryota; Metazoa; Chordata; Mammalia; Rodentia; Cricetidae.
UAUACAUACAGGUAAAACACCUGUACGCAUAAAAAAAAUUUGAAAAAAAUACUACCUUUUUUUAAAGUUACCAAAACAACAACAAAAACACAACCAACCCAACAUUGGAUCAAACUAAACAUACUUGGGGUCAAUUUGCGACCAUCUCAUUAGAUGGGCAAAAGUGAGAUCAGAAUGUAACAGUGUGCAGAGUAUAUUAACUUACAGGUCCUGCCACUAUUUGUAUGCAUUAUCUAAAACAACAACAACAAAAGUAAUUCCAAACCAGCACUUGAGAGGCUGUAGGGGGAGGAUCAUAACAUACUACUGCAUAGGCAGGUAAGCAGCAUGCCUGGCCUACUCAGCAAGACCUUGUCUCAAAAGAAAGGGUGUGGAUAUUGUGGAAGCUUGUGGACUGAGCAGUGUUCCAUGGUGAGUGUGCAAAACACGAGAGUUCUGUCUGACUUGCUAGUUAAGCUAUUUAUAUCAUUUAUCAAAGACAAAUUUUUCCCAGAAUUAAAAUCCUUUUGAUAGCUUUUUUAUGGAGCCAGGUCUUGUGGUGCGACUCUACAACACUGGCUGGCUUAGAGUUUGCUCAGUAAGGCCUUGGAUUCUCGGCAGUUGGCAGGGAUUAAAACCAUGUGCAGCUCAUUUUUUUGGUAAAGAAUAAUCUUCAUUGUAAGGCACACUACGUGUUAAUACAUCAAGGAGUAGAGCAUUACUGUUGGACCCUAACCAUCAAAUCGGAGACUGACUACUUGUCAUACACAGUAGAGUUUCUCCUUUGCUCUGAGCAAUGCGACACACGUUAUUUCAUUAAGCAAAACUAGUAAAUAAUCCCAGAUUGUCAAAAUUAAUACUUUUGUGUAACUUAUUGUCAAGCCUCUUAAUAAUAAUAUAGUUUCCUCUGUGUAAGUUUCCUAGGGGAGACACUAAGUGCUUCUGCCUUCAGCGGUGACUGCCCAACGUGAGUUAGUUUUGGUGGGGGAGAUGUGUCUUGACCUGACACAUCCUCCAAAAUGGCUGGUGUCAAAGGCUUGACCCUGAUGAUGGUGUUGAAAAGUGGAUCACUGGUAACUUCUUCAUCAGUGGAUGUUGAUGGCUGAAUAGAGUGUUGGGGGAGGGAUGGUUGGAGGAAGUUAUGUCACUGGGAAAUGUAUUUUGGAAGAGUGUGUCUUGUCUUUGGAUCUUCCUCUCUGGCUCUUCUGCUUCCAGCUGCCAUGAGGUGAACAACUUUACUCUGGCACGCCUUCCCUUUCCACCACCGUGUUCUGCUUCAACACAAGCCCACAGCGAUGGGGCAUCUGUGGAUGGAAACCUGAAACCAUGAGCCCAAAGAAGUCUUUUUCUCAGGGACACCAAUCCCACUGAAGACCACACUUCUAGUUUUAAUUCUUUAUUAAACCAAUAUUUCUGUAAUAAACAUCAACAGCUACUUGAACAGACUCAUUGCUAUCUUGAUUAUGUCCACAAAUUGGGGAUAUUUUGCUUACUCUUACUGGUGCCUAAAACCAGCCUUGCCGGGACCUCUUGGCACCUCAUAAUUCCAGCUGAUGUUGGGACCUAAAGUUUGCUGUCAAUGAGACCAGGCCUGGUCUUGACAGUGAAGCCACCAUCAAAAGCUGCAUUUAGAACUUCAUCCAGGCAGCUUG